GACGAACGCUGGCGGCGUGCCUAAUACAUGCAAGUUGAGCGAUGAAGAUUGGUGCUUGCACCAAUUUGCAGAGCAGCGAACGGGUGAGUAACGCGUGGGGAAUCUGCCUUUGAGCGGGGGACAACAUUUGGAAACGAAUGCUAAUACCGCAUAACAACUUUAAACAUAAGUUUUAAGUUUGAAAGAUGCAAUUGCAUCACUCAAAGAUGAUCCCGCGUUGUAUUAGCUAGUUGGUGAGGUAAAGGCUCACCAAGGCGAUGAUACAUAGCCGACCUGAGAGGGUGAUCGGCCACAUUGGGACUGAGACACGGCCCAAACUCCUACGGGAGGCAGCAGUAGGGAAUCUUCGGCAAUGGACGAAAGUCUGACCGAGCAACGCCGCGUGAGUGAAGAAGGUUUUCGGAUCGUAAAACUCUGUUGGUAGAGAAGAACGUUGGUGAGAGUGGAAAGCUCACCAAGUGACGGUAACUACCCAGAAAGGGACGGCUAACUACGUG
This 497-nucleotide ribosomal RNA is filed under the name uncultured bacterium. Its description in RNAcentral is "partial 16S ribosomal RNA". It matches the Rfam family "Bacterial small subunit ribosomal RNA", at positions 28 to 507 of the family's 1533-position model. The record is from RNAcentral.